Gossypium raimondii (Peruvian cotton) is the source of this 74-nucleotide transfer RNA. It matches the Rfam family "tRNA". From Rfam's summary of the family: Transfer RNA (tRNA) molecules are approximately 80 nucleotides in length. Their secondary structure includes four short double-helical elements and three loops (D, anti-codon, and T loops). The record is from Rfam. Lineage: Eukaryota; Viridiplantae; Streptophyta; Magnoliopsida; Malvales; Malvaceae.
GCUAGAAUAGCUCAGUUGGUUAGAGUGUGUGGCUGUUAACUAUAAGUUUGAAGGUUCAAACCCUUCUUCUAGUG